RNAcentral lists this ribosomal RNA (484 nucleotides) under uncultured bacterium. RNAcentral's name for it is "partial 16S ribosomal RNA". It matches the Rfam family "Bacterial small subunit ribosomal RNA", at positions 28 to 507 of the family's 1533-position model. The record is from RNAcentral.
AUUGAACGCUGGCGGCAUGCUUUACACAUGCAAGUCGAACGGCAGCGCGGGCUUCGGCCUGGCGGCGAGUGGCGAACGGGUGAGUAAUGCAUCGGAACGUCCCCAGUAGUGGGGGAUAGCCCGGCGAAAGCCGGAUUAAUACCGCAUACGACCUGAGGGUGAAACCGGGGGACCGAAAGGCCUCGCGCUAUUGGAGCGGCCGAUGUCGGAUUAGCUAGUUGGUGGGGUAAAGGCUUACCAAGGCGACGAUUCGUAGCUGGUCUGAGAGGACGACAGGCCACAUUGGGACUGGGACACGGCCCAGACUCCUACGGGAGGCAGCAGUGGGGAAUUUUAGACAAUGGUGGCAACCCUGGUCCAGCCGUGCGGCGUGCGGGAAGAAAGCCUUCGGGUUGUAAACCGCUUUUGUUCGGGAAGAAAUCCUCUGGGCUAAUACCCCGGGGGGAUGACGGUACCGGAAGAAUAAGCACCGGCUAACUACGUG